RNAcentral lists this ribosomal RNA (445 nucleotides) under uncultured bacterium. RNAcentral's name for it is "bacterial SSU rRNA". It matches the Rfam family "Bacterial small subunit ribosomal RNA", at positions 338 to 795 of the family's 1533-position model. The record is from RNAcentral.
CCUACGGGAGGCAGCAGUGGGGAAUAUUGCACAAUGGGGGAAACCCUGAUGCAGCGACGCAGCGUGCGGGAUGACGGCCUUCGGGUUGUAAACCGCUUUCAGCAGGGAAGAAGCGAAAGUGACGGUACCUGCAGAAGAAGUACCGGCUAACUACGUGCCAGCAGCCGCGGUAAUACGUAGGGUACGAGCGUUGUCCGGAAUUAUUGGGCGUAAAGAGCUCGUAGGUGGUUGGUCACGUCUGCUGUGGAAACGCAACGCUUAACGUUGCGCGUGCAGUGGGUACGGGCUGACUAGAGUGCAGUAGGGGAGUCUGGAAUUCCUGGUGUAGCGGUGAAAUGCGCAGAUAUCAGGAGGAACACCGGUGGCGAAGGCGGGACUCUGGGCUGUAACUGACACUGAGGAGCGAAAGCAUGGGGAGCGAACAGGAUUAGAUACCCCCGUAGUC